RNAcentral lists this ribosomal RNA (254 nucleotides) under uncultured bacterium. Its description in RNAcentral is "partial 16S ribosomal RNA". It matches the Rfam family "Bacterial small subunit ribosomal RNA", at positions 524 to 776 of the family's 1533-position model. The record is from RNAcentral.
CACGUAGGGUGCGAGCGUUGUCCGGAAUUAUUGGGCGUAAAGAGCUCGUAGGCGGUGUGUCGCGUCGGCCGUGAAAACCUGCAGCUUAACUGUGGGCUUGCGGUCGAUACGGGCAUCACUGGAGUUCGGCAGGGGAGACUGGAAUUCCGGGUGUAGUGGUGAAAUGCGUAGAUAUCCGGAGGAACACCAGUGGCGAAGGCGACUUUCUGGCCUGUUCUUGACGCUGAGGCGCGAAAGCUAGGGGAGCAAACGGG